GCUGGACAUGGUGGCGAAUGUCUGUAAUCCAAGUGGCUUGGGAGGCUGAGGCAGGAGGAUUGCAAGUUCAAAGAGUUCAAAGCCAGCCUCAGCAACAGUGAGGCACUAAGCAACUCAGUGAGACUCUGUCUCUA
Molecule: small RNA, 134 nt
Filed under: Marmota monax (woodchuck)
Lineage: Eukaryota; Metazoa; Chordata; Mammalia; Rodentia; Sciuridae
Source: RNAcentral